RNAcentral lists this ribosomal RNA (505 nucleotides) under uncultured bacterium. Its description in RNAcentral is "partial 16S ribosomal RNA". It matches the Rfam family "Bacterial small subunit ribosomal RNA", at positions 28 to 523 of the family's 1533-position model. The record is from RNAcentral.
GAUGAACGCUAGCUACAGGCUUAACACAUGCAAGUCGAGGGGUAACGAGAGGAAAGCUUGCUUUCCUUGUCGACGACCGGCGCACGGGUGAGUAACGCGUAUCCAACCUGCCCCCAACUAGGGAAUAACCUUGCGAAAGUAAGACUAAUACCCUAUAAUUUCCUCAGAUGACAUCUGACGAGGAAUAAAGAUUUAUCGGUUGUGGAUGGGGAUGCGUCUGAUUAGCUUGGUGGAGGGGUAACGGCCCACCAAGGCAACGAUCAGUAGGGGUUCUGAGAGGAAGGUCCCCCACAUUGGAACUGAGACACGGUCCAAACUCCUACGGGAGGCAGCAGUGAGGAAUAUUGGUCAAUGGGCGGAAGCCUGAACCAGCCAAGUAGCGUGCAGGAUGACGGCCCUAUGGGUUGUAACUGCUUUUAUACAGGAAUAAAGUUAGCCACGUGUGGUUAUUUGUAGGUACUGUAUGAAUAAGGACCGGCUAAUUCCGUGCCAGCAGCCGCCGUAA